Molecule: ribosomal RNA, 484 nt
Filed under: uncultured bacterium
Lineage: Bacteria
Description: partial 16S ribosomal RNA
Rfam family: Bacterial small subunit ribosomal RNA
Source: RNAcentral
AUUGAACGCUGGCGGCAGGCCUAACACAUGCAAGUCGAGCGGAUGAAGGGAGCUUGCUCCUGGAUUCAGCGGCGGACGGGCGAGUAAUGCCUAGGAAUCUGCCUGGUAGUGGGGGAUAACGUCCGGAAACGGGCGCUAAUACCGCAUACGUCCUGAGGGAGAAAGUGGGGGAUCUUCGGACCUCACGCUAUCAGAUGAGCCUAGGUUGGAUUAGCUAGUUGGUGGGGUAAAGGCCUACCAAGGCGACGAUCCGUAACUGGUCUGAGAGGAUGAUCAGUCACACUGGAACUGAGACACGGUCCAGACUCCUACGGGAGGCAGCAGUGGGGAAUAUUGGACAAUGGGCGAAAGCCUGAUCCAGCCAUGCCGCGUGUGUGAAGAAGGUCUUCGGAUUGUAAAGCACUUUUAGUUGGGAGGAAGAGCAGUAAGUUAAUACCUUGCUGUUUUGACGUUACCAACAGAAUAAGCACCGGCUAACUUCGUG